UGCCCAGCAACUCCUAUCCCUACCUCCUCGUGGUACUGGCCGGGGUACGAGUAACCUUGGGGAAGAUCGUUACCAACCCCCGGUGGGAACUUUGGUCGUAUGCUGACAGGGAAGG
This 115-nucleotide ribozyme is filed under the name Aedes aegypti (yellow fever mosquito). RNAcentral describes it as "drz-agam-1 ribozyme". It matches the Rfam family "drz-agam-1 ribozyme". The record is from Rfam by way of RNAcentral. Lineage: Eukaryota; Metazoa; Arthropoda; Insecta; Diptera; Culicidae.